This is an RNA transcript of Vigna radiata var. radiata (mung bean), 1108 nucleotides long. It is a transcript of the gene named exocyst complex component SEC3A-like, with no coding region annotated. The record is from RefSeq and is a predicted model, not a curated record. NCBI's taxonomy places the organism in Eukaryota, Viridiplantae, Streptophyta, Magnoliopsida, Fabales, Fabaceae. The transcript has 7 exons.
UAUCUAUAUGUAAAAGUUGUAGAUAUAAAGCGGGAAAGUUGAAGAAGGACUUGUAGAGCACGAAACACGGUCCUGUAGUGUAAACGAAAUAUACUAUCGUACUGACGUCGAAUUCACUUUCGUUUCUUCGUUCUUCAAUGGAUCGUUUGGCUAGGUCAGCUCGAGCGUGGCGUUGGUAUUGGCGUUCUUUUUCCUCUUUUCAAACCCUAACUUCUCGAUCCUCACUUCUUUCUACACAUCCCAAAUCUGCGUCUUCUCGGUUUUCCUCUUCCGAUGUUUCGAUGUCCAGAGUCUUGCCCGAGGAUUAUUCAUGGCUUCGGUCUUCUUUGCUGCUGUUUUUGGAUCUGGAUUGGUGGGAGUGGCUUAUGCGGAUAAUGCUACUGUGGAUGUCCAAGAAAGAGCCAUGAAGGAACGCGAGCGAAUUGAGGCGUUGAUUAGAAGUAGAGGAAUUCGAUACGGUUCUUAUCCUUCAUUCUCUGUUGCCGUUAAAGGCCAAAAGGAAGACUUUUAUGCUGUUGUGGAUUGGGCAUACAAGAUUGAUCUUCUACACUGUAUAUCAAUGCAUGGAAUAACAGAGUGCUAUCUUUUUGGUCAGAAAGCUGAUGCAACAGGAUUUGUACGUGAUUUACUUCGUGACCUAGAGUCUCGGAUAUCUAUUCAGUUCAACCGUUUUGUUGAUGAAGCUUGCCAUCAAAUUGAAAGAAAUGAAAAGAAUGUUCGGUCAACGGGUGUUCUCUCAUAUUCCCAGCCAUUUAUGCAAAGUUUGGAACAUAGAAAGAGAGAAGUAGAAUAGUAUCUCUAAUGGCAUGAAAGGAUCUUAACAUGAUUUGCAACCCUUGCAACUCGGAUGGAGCAGUACAUCCAGGGUCAGUCUAGGGAUUUGGUUGACCAAGCAUAUACAAAAUUUAUUUUGAUUUGAAGGAGGCUGCAUAUGCUGAAGGCACAGAGCUUUGGUUGCUGCAGCAAGGUGUGUUGUACGCACAGAAUCCGCAUAUACCAUCCUUUGAUGGAGAGUUGUUAUUACUGCAGCAGAGAGCUAAAGAGGAGAAAUGCAAUGCAACCAUGGAGAUUGUGCGUAGAGGAGCUAAGCAUGGAGAAAAACGAAUAA